AGGACGAACGCUGGCGGCGCGCUUAAUACAUGCAAGUCGAGCGAGAACCAGGGCUUCGGCUCUGGGGACAGCGGCGAACGGGUGAGUAACACGUGGGUAAUCAACCCCCGACACCGGGAUAGCCCAGGGAAACUUGGAUUAAUACCGGAUGCUCCGUCUGGCUUUAGGGCCGGCCGGAAAAGGGUAGCUUCGGCCUCCGGUCGGGGACGAGCCCGCGGCGGAUUAGCUUGUUGGUGAGGUAAAGGCUCACCAAGGCGACAAUCCGUAGCUGGUCUGAGAGGACGAUCAGCCACACUGGGACUGAGACACGGCCCAGACUCCUACGGGAGGCAGCAGUAGGGAAUCUUGCGCAAUGGGCGAAAGCCUGACGCAGCGACGCCGCGUGAGGGAAGAAGGCCUUCGGGUUGUAAACCUCUUUCAGGAGGGACGAAGCCACUCGGGUUAAUAGCCUAGAGGGUGACGGUACCUCCAGAAGAAGCCCCGGCUAACGUACGUGCCAGCAGCCGCGGU
RNAcentral lists this ribosomal RNA (510 nucleotides) under uncultured bacterium. RNAcentral describes it as "SSU rRNA". It matches the Rfam family "Bacterial small subunit ribosomal RNA", at positions 26 to 521 of the family's 1533-position model. The record is from RNAcentral.